CCUACGGGAGGCUGCAGUCGAGAAUCAUUCACAAUGGGGGAAACCCUGAUGGUGCGACGCCGCGUUGGGUAAUGAAGGUCUUCGGAUUGUAAACCCCUGUCAUGUGUGAGCAAAUUAAAAAGAUAGUACCACAAGAGGAAGAGACGGCUAACUCUGUGCCAUCAGCCGCGGGAAUACCGAGGUCUCAAGCGUUGUUCGGAAUCACUGGGCGUAAAGCGUGCGUAGGCUGUUUCGUAAGUCGUGGGUGAAAGGCGCGGGCUCAACCCGCGGACGGCACAUGAUACUGCGAGACUAGAGUAAUGGAGGGGGAACCGGAAGUCUCGGUGUAGCAGUGAAAUGCGUAGAUAUCGAGAGGAACACUCGUGGCGAAGGCGGGUUCCUGGACAUUAACUGACGCUGAGGCACGAAGGCCAGGGGAGCGAAAGGGAUUAGAUACCCUAGUAGUC
Molecule: ribosomal RNA, 446 nt
Filed under: uncultured bacterium
Lineage: Bacteria
Description: partial 16S ribosomal RNA
Rfam family: Bacterial small subunit ribosomal RNA
Source: RNAcentral